This is a non-coding RNA of Chiloscyllium plagiosum (whitespotted bambooshark), 258 nucleotides long. The record is from RefSeq and is a predicted model, not a curated record. NCBI's taxonomy places the organism in Eukaryota, Metazoa, Chordata, Chondrichthyes, Orectolobiformes, Hemiscylliidae.
GUCUGUACAGUGGUUGAAACUGAGACACACACCGAUUGUAAAGGAGAGAAAACAAAAAUUAUUUGGAGACACUCAGCACAUCUGGGUAAUUCUACAUUGGACAUGUGGGAGUAUUUCAAAUGGCAGUUGAUAAGAGUUCAGGAGCGGCACAUUCCUGCAAGAAUGAAGGAUAAGUAUGAUUUGACUGUACUAUUUAUGGGAGCUGACACUAAAAACCCACAGACUACGGGAGCUAAUACUGAGACACAUAGACCAUAC